GAACGCUAGCGACAGGCCUAACACAUGCAAGUCGAGGGGCAGCACAAGGAGCAAUCUGAGGUGGCGACCGGCGCACGGGUGAGUAACACGUAUGCAACCUGCCUGUAAGCGGGGAAUAACCCGUUGAAAGACGGACUAAUACCGCAUAAUACUAAAUUACUGCAUGGUAAUUUAUUUAAACAUUUAUGGCUUACAGAUGGGCAUGCGCAUGAUUAGCUAGUUGGAGAGGUAACGGCUCCCCAAGGCAACGAUCAUUAGGGGUUCUGAGAGGAAGGUCCCCCACACUGGUACUGAGACACGGACCAGACUCCUACGGGAGGCAGCAGUGAGGAAUAUUGGUCAAUGGACGAGAGUCUGAACCAGCCAAGUCGCGUGCAGGAAGAAUGUCCUUAAUGGAUUGUAAACUGCUUUUGCAGGGGAAUAAAGUGCAUCACGUGUGAUGUUUUGUAUGUACUCUGCGAAUAAGGAUCGGCUAACUCCGUGCCAGCAGCAGC
This 494-nucleotide ribosomal RNA is filed under the name uncultured bacterium. RNAcentral describes it as "bacterial SSU rRNA". It matches the Rfam family "Bacterial small subunit ribosomal RNA", at positions 31 to 518 of the family's 1533-position model. The record is from RNAcentral.